This is a long non-coding RNA of Hydra vulgaris (swiftwater hydra), 394 nucleotides long. RefSeq lists it as uncharacterized. The record is from RefSeq and is a predicted model, not a curated record. Lineage: Eukaryota; Metazoa; Cnidaria; Hydrozoa; Anthoathecata; Hydridae.
GGGCAGGAUAGGGAAGACGGAUUGUAAACAAAAAAAUUAUUACUACAUUGUAUUGUUUUAAUUUUUAAUAUUAGAUUGAAAUUCAAAUAAAAAUGGUAAAAGUUAUGGAAAAGAAGACUUCAAGAAUCCAAUCUGCACAGACUACAACUGUAUCUACCUCAUGUGCUACACCUGUAUCUACCUCUUGUGCUACACCUGGUAAGUUAAACAACUCUUUUUAAUGCGCACAAAUUUCUCAUUGAUUGCAAUGUUGAUUUUUAUAAUGUAUUUUUUACCUUUAAUUCUUUCUGCGUGUGCUACGCCUGUUACAUCUUCAGCUGUCACGUCAAUUCCAUCUGCACCACCUUCAAACAGUAAAUUUAUGAAUCUGGAAUGUCUCUGAUUGAUCGAGUUC